CCCUUAGGUUCUUUACCCAGUCAGUAUUGUUUCUGUGUCUAUGUUAAGACACCACUAUGAUGGUGUCUCGUUUCAUGUUUGUUGGUUUAUUAAACAUAUCACCUGCUUCUCAACUCUCAGCAUCUUUGUUACAGAAUACUGACUCAAACAAUGGAAGCAGCAGGAAAACAGAAUAUCUCCCAGACAGUCGACGAGCAGGGAUACCUUCUUCGUCAACACCACGACCAGCUGGCACAACUGGAGACAGCUAUGGAAGAGGUUCUUCGCAGUGUGCAACAUCUUGAGCAUACCCGGGAGGUGUUUCAGUAAACUAGCAGAGGAUACUCUACAACCAGUCGACCCAGCACAACAGCCCAUUCAGCAACAAGCUCAGGCCAGUGGUUCCUGGUCCCCUAGCUGAUGCUGUCCCCCACGACACCCCUCCACCGCCCCCUGGACAUCAAGGGGGGUCCAGCCUAUGCCGUCAGAUCCCUACUGGACUCUCAACGUUGUGGGGGUUGUGGAGGACAAUCUGGAUCCCAACAUCAUCCUUGAUUUUCACUUUUGCCGCUGUGGCUAGAGCCGCGCGUCGGGUGUGGUACUGUCACAUCUACUCCCGCUCCUCCCCUCCGGCAUUCAACGUCACCGGUAUACUAACCACCGGUCCUGGCAUCCAUCAUUACGCACACCUGCACUUGAUGAGGCACACCUAGACUCCAUUACCCUAUAUCUGGCACUCCCUUAGGUUUUUUUUCCCAAGUCAGUAUUGUUUCUGUAUCUAUGUUAAGACGCCACUAUGAUGUUGUCUCGUUCCAUGUUCGUUGGUUUAUUAAACGUACCACCUGCUUCUCGA
Non-coding RNA from Oncorhynchus mykiss (rainbow trout), 832 nucleotides. Lineage: Eukaryota; Metazoa; Chordata; Actinopteri; Salmoniformes; Salmonidae. The record is from RefSeq and is a predicted model, not a curated record.